Molecule: long non-coding RNA, 1423 nt
Filed under: Olea europaea subsp. europaea
Lineage: Eukaryota; Viridiplantae; Streptophyta; Magnoliopsida; Lamiales; Oleaceae
Source: RNAcentral
GUUUAAAGCUCUUGUUGAAAAAGAAAGCGGAUAUAGUAUAAAAGCCUUGAGAUCGAAUAGAGGAUGAGAGUUCACCUCCAAAAGUUUGAGAAAUAUUGUGAGCAGAAUGGAAUUCGUCGCCCAUUGACAGUUUCAUACUCUCCACAACAAAAUGGAGUAGCCAAAAGAAAGAACAGAUCCAUUCUUAACAUGGCACGCUGCAUGCUCAAAAGUAAGAGAUUGCCCAAAGAACUUUGGGCUGAAGCUGUUAAUUUCGCCGUGUAUCUGUCUAACCGAUCACCUUCUAGAAGUGUGUGGAAUAAGACACCACAAGAAGCAUUGAGUGGAAGAAAGCCCAGCAUCUCUCACUUACGAGUAUUUGGAAGCAUUGCAUAUGCUCAUGUACCAGAUCAAAAACGGUCCAAGUUAGAUGACAAAAGUGAAAGGUAUGUCUUCAUCGGCUAUGACUCUCGCUCUAAAGGCUACAAGUUGUAUAAUCCAAGCAAUGAGAAGAUCACCAUAAGUAGAGAUAUCGAGUUUGAUGAAGAAGGAGCUUGGGAUUGGGGUGUCCAAGAGGAAUAUGGAGGACUGUAAACCCAUAUGCACCCACAUCGAAUGCGAAAUCAAGUUGUCGAAGAACGAUGAAGGUGAAAAAGUAAAUCCAACACUUUUUAAGAGUCUUGUUGGAAGUCUAAGAUACUUGACGUGCACAAGACCAGAUAUCCUUUUUUGAGUUGGGCUCAUCAGUUGCUAUAUGGAGACACCUACCAUGACCCAUACGAAAACUGCAAAGAGAAUUCUUCGCUACAUCAAAGGUACGCUUGAUUAUGGCUUAGUCUAUUCAUCAACUAAUGAAUUCAAACUUGUUGGAUAUAGUGACAGCGAUUGGGGUGGAAAUAGUGAUGACAGAAAAAGUACGACUGGAUAUGUGUUUUACUUGGGCGACAUAGCUUUCACCUGGAGCUCAAAAAAGUAAUCGAUCGUAGCACUAUCUACCUGUGAAGCUGAAUAUGUUGCGGCAACAUCAAGUGUCUGCCAUGCGAUUUGGCUUAGAAACUUGUUGAAGACGCUUGGAGUUUCACAAGAAGAACCAACCAUAAUCCAUGUUGAUAACAAAUUAGUAUUGGCAUUGGCAAAGAACCCAGUAUUGCAUGACAGAAGCAAGCAUAUUGAUAUAAGAUAUCAUUUCAUAAGAGAAAGUAUUACAAAGAAAGAAGUACAGUGGAAAUAUGUAACCUCCUAAGAGCAGAUCACCGACAUUCUCACUAAGCCACUCAAGCAUGAUGUGUUUCGCAAGUUAAGAACUCUACUUGGAGUAGCAAAAUCAAGUUUAAUGGGAGAUGUUGAGUAGUAAACUUGAUUUUUGGACUAAAUAAUAUGGGCUUAAAGAUUUUGCUUAUAGGCCCAAAUCAAUUAAAAGGCCCAACAUGCCUAACAUAUUUAG